Molecule: ribosomal RNA, 1442 nt
Filed under: uncultured organism
Description: SSU rRNA
Rfam family: Bacterial small subunit ribosomal RNA
Source: RNAcentral
UACAGGCUUAACACAUGCAAGUCGAGGGGCAGCAUGGUCUUAGCUUGCUAAGGCCGAUGGCGACCGGCGCACGGGUGAGUAACACGUAUCCAACCUGCCGUCUACUCUUGGACAGCCUUCUGAAAGGAAGAUUAAUACAAGAUGGCAUCAUGAGUCCACAUGUUCACAUGAUUAAAGGUAUUCCGGUAGACGAUGGGGAUGCGUUCCAUUAGAUAGUAGGCGGGGUAACGGCCCACCUAGUCUUCGAUGGAUAGGGGUUCUGAGAGGAAGGUCCCCCACAUUGGAACUGAGACACGGUCCAAACUCCUACGGGAGGCAGCAGUGAGGAAUAUUGGUCAAUGGGCGAGAGCCUGAACCAGCCAAGUAGCGUGAAGGAUGACUGCCCUAUGGGUUGUAAACUUCUUUUAUAAAGGAAUAAAGUCGGGUAUGGAUACCCGUUUGCAUGUACUUUAUGAAUAAGGAUCGGCUAACUCCGUGCCAGCAGCCGCGGUAAUACGGAGGAUCCGAGCGUUAUCCGGAUUUAUUGGGUUUAAAGGGAGCGUAGAUGGAUGUUUAAGUCAGUUGUGAAAGUUUGCGGCUCAACCGUAAAAUUGCAGUUGAUACUGGAUAUCUUGAGUGCAGUUGAGGCAGGCGGAAUUCGUGGUGUAGCGGUGAAAUGCUUGGAUAUCACGAAGAACUCCGAUUGCGAAGGCAGCCUGCUAAGCUGCAACUGACAUUGAGGCUCGAAAGUGUGGGUAUCAAACAGGAUUAGAUACCCUGGUAGUCCACACGGUAAACGAUGAAUACUCGCUGUUUGCGAUAUACAGCAAGCGGCCAAGCGAAAGCGUUAAGUAUUCCACCUGGGGAGUACGCCGGCAACGGUGAAACUCAAAGGAAUUGACGGGGGCCCGCACAAGCGGAGGAACAUGUGGUUUAAUUCGAUGAUACGCGAGGAACCUUACCCGGGCUUAAAUUGCAGAUGAAUUACGGUGAAAGCCGUAAGCCGCAAGGCAUCUGUGAAGGUGCUGCAUGGUUGUCGUCAGCUCGUGCCGUGAGGUGUCGGCUUAAGUGCCAUAACGAGCGCAACCCUUGUUGUCAGUUACUAACAGGUUCCGCUGAGGACUCUGACAAGACUGCCAUCGUAAGAUGUGAGGAAGGUGGGGAUGACGUCAAAUCAGCACGGCCCUUACGUCCGGGGCUACACACGUGUUACAAUGGGGGGUACAGAGGGCCGCUACCACGCGAGUGGAUGCCAAUCCCAAAAACCUCUCUCAGUUCGGACUGGAGUCUGCAACCCGACUCCACGAAGCUGGAUUCGCUAGUAAUCGCGCAUCAGCCACGGCGCGGUGAAUACGUUCCCGGGCCUUGUACACACCGCCCGUCAAGCCAUGGGAGCCGGGGGUACCUGAAGUGCGUAACCGCGAGGAGCGCCCUAGGGUAAAACUGGUGACUGGGGCUAAGUA